This 537-nucleotide ribosomal RNA is filed under the name uncultured Comamonas sp. RNAcentral describes it as "bacterial SSU rRNA". It matches the Rfam family "Bacterial small subunit ribosomal RNA", at positions 350 to 880 of the family's 1533-position model. The record is from RNAcentral. Lineage: Bacteria; Pseudomonadati; Pseudomonadota; Betaproteobacteria; Burkholderiales; Comamonadaceae.
AGCAGUGGGGAAUUUUGGACAAUGGGCGCAAGCCUGAUCCAGCCAUGCCGCGUGCAGGAUGAAGGCCUUCGGGUUGUAAACUGCUUUUGUACGGAACGAAAAGCCCCCUUCUAAUAAAGGGGGGUGAUGACGGUACCGUAAGAAUAAGCACCGGCUAACUACGUGCCAGCAGCCGCGGUAAUACGUAGGGUGCAAGCGUUAAUCGGAAUUACUGGGCGUAAAGCGUGCGCAGGCGGUUAUGUAAGACAGAGGUGAAAUCCCCGGGCUCAACCUGGGAACUGCCUUUGUGACUGCAUAGCUUGAGUGCGGCAGAGGGGGAUGGAAUUCCGCGUGUAGCAGUGAAAUGCGUAGAUAUGCGGAGGAACACCGAUGGCGAAGGCAAUCCCCUGGGCCUGCACUGACGCUCAUGCACGAAAGCGUGGGGAGCAAACAGGAUUAGAUACCCUGGUAGUCCACGCCCUAAACGAUGUCAACUGGUUGUUGGGAAUUAACUUUCUCAGUAACGAAGCUAACGCGUGAAGUGACCGCAUGGGAGAG